GGGUUCACUGAUGUCUAUGAUGCAGUCGAGCGGGAACAGGGGUAGCUUGCUACCCGCUGACGAGCGGCGGAAGGGUGAGUAGUGCAUAGGAAUCUGCCCGAUGGUGGGGGAUAACCUGGGGAAACCCAGGCUAAUACCGCAUACGUCCUACGGGAGAAAGGGGGCUGCGGCUCCCGCUAUUGGAUGAGCCUAUGUCGGAUUAGCUAGUUGGUGAGGUAAUGGCUUAACAAGGCAACGAUCCGUAGCUGGUCUGAGAGGAUGAUCAGCCACAUCGGGACUGAGACACGGCCCGAACUCCUACGGGAGGCAGCAGUGGGGAAUAUUGGACAAUGGGGGCAACCCUGAUCCGCCAUGCCGCGUGUGUAAGAAGGCCCUCGGGUUGUAAAGCACUUUCAGCGAGGAAGAACGCCUAUCGGUUAAUACCCGGUAGGAAAGACAUCACUCGCAGAAGAAGCACCGGCUAACUCCGUGCCAGCAGCCGCGGUAAUACGGAGGGUGCAAGCGUUAAUCGGAAUUACUGGGCGUAAAGCGCGCGUAGGUGGCUUGAUAAGCCGGUUGUGAAAGCCCCGGGCUCAACCUGGGAACGGCAUCCGGAACUGUCAGGCUAGAGUGCAGGAGAGGAAGGUAGAAUUCCCGGUGUAGCGGUGAAAUGCGUAGAGAUCGGGAGGAAUACCAGUGGCGAAGGCGGCCUUCUGGACUGACACUGACACUGAGGUGCGAAAGCGUGGGUAGCAAACAGGAUUAGAUACCCUGGUAGUCCACGCCGUAAACGAUGUCGACCAGCCGUUGGGUGCCUAGAGCACUUUGUGGCGAAGUUAACGCGAUAAGUCGACCGCUGGGGAGUACGGCCGCAAGGUUAAAACUCAAUGAUUUGACGGGGCCCGCAAAGCGUGGAGCAUG
Molecule: ribosomal RNA, 900 nt
Filed under: Halomonas sp.
Lineage: Bacteria; Pseudomonadati; Pseudomonadota; Gammaproteobacteria; Oceanospirillales; Halomonadaceae
Description: bacterial SSU rRNA
Rfam family: Bacterial small subunit ribosomal RNA
Source: RNAcentral